This 65-nucleotide microRNA precursor is filed under the name Lotus japonicus. RNAcentral's name for it is "miR11143 stem-loop (lja-MIR11143)". The record is from miRBase by way of RNAcentral. Lineage: Eukaryota; Viridiplantae; Streptophyta; Magnoliopsida; Fabales; Fabaceae.
GAGCAAAACAAACGGACGUUACGGCAACCGCGUUGCGGUUGUUGUUGCGUCGUUUUUAAGUGCUC